Molecule: ribosomal RNA, 1200 nt
Filed under: uncultured organism
Description: bacterial SSU rRNA
Rfam family: Bacterial small subunit ribosomal RNA
Source: RNAcentral
CCAUUAGCUUGUUGGUGGGGUAAUGGCCUACCAAGGCGACGAUGGGUAGCCGGCCUGAGAGGGUGUACGGCCACAUUGGGACUGAGAUACGGCCCAGACUCCUACGGGAGGCAGCAGUUAAGAAUCUUGCGCAAUGGGCGAAAGCCUGACGCAGCGACGCCGCGUGGACGAUGAAGGCCUUCGGGUUGUAAAGUCCGGUAAGCAGGGAAGAAUAAGUGUAAAGUAAUAUCUUGCACGAUGACGGUACCUGCCUAAAGCCCCGGCUAACUACGUGCCAGCAGCCGCGGUAAUACGUAUGGGGCAAGCGUUGUUCGGAAUUAUUGGGCAUAAAGGGCGUCUAGGCGGGGGACUAAGUUAGGUGUGAAAGCCAUGGGCUCAACCCAUGAAUUGCACCUAAAACUGGUUUUCUUGAGUUCGGGAGAGGAGAGCGGAAUUCCCGGUGUAGCGGUGAAAUGCGUAGAUAUCGGGAAGAACACCAGUGGCGAAGGCGGCUCUCUGGCCUAGAACUGACGCUGAAGCGCGAAAGCGUGGGGAGCGAACGGGAUUAGAUACCCCGGUAGUCCACGCCGUAAACGUUGUGUACUAGGUGUUAGUGGCUUGACCACUAGUGCCGUCGCAAACGCAUUAAGUACACCGCCUGGGGAGUACGUCCGCAAGGAUGAAACUCAAAGAAAUUGACGGGGGCCCGCACAAGCGGUGGAGCAUGUGGUUUAAUUCGAUGAUACGCGAAGAACCUUACCUGGGCUUGAACUGUACUUGAUCGGUGUAGAGAUACACCCUCCUUCGGGCAGGUGCAGAGGUGCUGCAUGGUUGUCGUCAGCUCGUGUCGUGAGAUGUUGGGUUAAGUCCCGCAACGAGCGCAACCCUUACCCCUUGUUGCCAUCAGGUAAUGCCGAGCACUCUAGGGGAACUGUCGGUGAUAAACCGGAGGAAGGUGGGGAUGACGUCAAAUCAUCACGGCCCUUAUGUCCAGGGCUACACACGUGCUACAAUGGCCGGUACAAUGAGUUGCGAGACCGCGAGGUGGAGCUAAUCCCAAAAAACCGGUCUCAGUUCGGAUUGCAGUCUGCAACUCGACUGCAUGAAGCUGGAAUCGCUAGUAAUCGCGGAUCAGCACGCCGCGGUGAUACGUUCCCGGGCCUUGUACACACCGCCCGUCACACCACCCGAGUUGGCAGCACCCGAAGUGGCUGAUCUAAC